RNAcentral lists this ribosomal RNA (501 nucleotides) under Escherichia coli. Its description in RNAcentral is "bacterial SSU rRNA". It matches the Rfam family "Bacterial small subunit ribosomal RNA", at positions 942 to 1443 of the family's 1533-position model. Lineage: Bacteria; Pseudomonadati; Pseudomonadota; Gammaproteobacteria; Enterobacterales; Enterobacteriaceae. The record is from RNAcentral.
UGGUUUAAUUCGAUGCAACGCGAAGAACCUUACCUGGUCUUGACAUCCACGGAAGUUUUCAGAGAUGGGAAUGUGCCUUCGGGAACCGUGAGACAGGUGCUGCAUGGCUGUCGUCAGCUCGUGUUGUGAAAUGUUGGGUUAAGUCCCGCAACGAGCGCAACCCUUAUCCUUUGUUGCCAGCGGUCCGGCCGGGAACUCAAAGGAGACUGCCAGUGAUAAACUGGAGGAAGGUGGGGAUGACGUCAAGUCAUCAUGGCCCUUACGACCAGGGCUACACACGUGUUCCAAUGGCGCAUACAAAGAGAAGCGACCUCGCGAGAGCAAGCGGACUUCAUAAACUGCGUUGUAGUCCGGAUUGGAGUCUGCAACUGGACUCCAUGAAGUGGGAAUCGUUGGUAAUCGUGGAUCAGAAUGCCACGGUGAAUACGUUCCCGGCCCUUGUACACACCGCCCGUCACACCAUGGGAGUGGGUUGCAAAAGAAGUAGGUAGGUUAACCUUC